Long non-coding RNA from Malania oleifera, 285 nucleotides. RefSeq lists it as uncharacterized. The record is from RefSeq and is a predicted model, not a curated record. The transcript is spliced from 3 exons. NCBI's taxonomy places the organism in Eukaryota, Viridiplantae, Streptophyta, Magnoliopsida, Santalales, Ximeniaceae.
UCCGAAAAUACCACUAGACUCCAUUCGUUGCUACCGUCAUUUCUACCGGAGUGGAUCGGUGGUAGGAGCGGCGUAGGCAUAUUCCCUGGGGAAUUAGAUUUCGGGCGCCAAGGGCGUGAAAUUUUGGGUCCUAAGGAAUUUCUCAAUAGUCAGGAGCUCCUGAGAGACUGGCGGGUCAGGGCCGCCGUUGAGCUAGUGAGAUUACCCUGUGAGAAGGGUAAGAUUUUGUAAUAGUGUCAGAGUUAUUUUGUGUUUGACCCUAGAGAUAUUUGGAUGUUUGUGAGG